RNAcentral lists this ribosomal RNA (498 nucleotides) under uncultured bacterium. RNAcentral's name for it is "partial 16S ribosomal RNA". It matches the Rfam family "Bacterial small subunit ribosomal RNA", at positions 30 to 523 of the family's 1533-position model. The record is from RNAcentral.
AUUGAACGCUGGCGGCAUGCCUUACACAUGCAAGUCGAACGGUAACAGGUCUUCGGAUGCAGACGAGUGGCGAACGGGUGAGUAAUACAUCGGAACGUGCCUAGUAGUAGGGGAUAACUACUCGAAAGAGUGGCUAAUACCGCAUGAGAUCUACGGAUGAAAGCAGGGGAUCGCAAGACCUUGUGCUACUAGAGCGGCCGAUGGCAGAUUAGGUAGUUGGUGGGAUAAAAGCUUACCAAGCCGACGAUCUGUAGCUGGUCCGAGAGGACGAUCAGCCACACUGGGACUGAGACACGGCCCAGACUCCUACGGGAGGCAGCAGUGGGGAAUUUUGGACAAUGGGCGCAAGCCUGAUCCAGCAAUGCCGCGUGCAGGAUGAAGGCCUUCGGGUUGUAAACUGCUUUUGUACGGAACGAAAAGCCCCGGGUUAAUACCCUGGGGUCAUGACGGUACCGUAAGAAUAAGCACCGGCUAACUACGUGCCAGCCGCCGCAGUAA